UGUACAAAGAGACAUCAAGAAUAGAGCUGAAUAUUGUUAUUGAUAUUACAAUUGUUAGAGAUGACUAAGCUUCCUUUCAUCGAAAUAAUUUUCACCCUUGUCGUUGUUGUAUUAGUUUUUUCAGGGGCAAGCGAAACAAAUCAAGUGAAAAGAUGUGAAAAGGUGAUACAACCAGGAAGCUGCAAUCUCAGUCAAUGUCAACAGACUUGCUACAACAUGUAUAAAAAUUAUGAAGGCUUGGGAAAUUGUAUCGGCAAUAAAGGAACUUUUGAAUGUGUUUGCAUCUAUGAUUGCUUUGAGAAGGAGUUUGGAGCUAAAGGUUUGAUGUAAUAUUGGAUAUGUAAUUUUGUUUUAGAGGGUAGAGAAGGAAGUCUAUCAGAAGUUAUUAAUAAAUUUAUGCUUGAAUUGACCAGUCUCA
Cajanus cajan (pigeon pea) is the source of this 418-nucleotide long non-coding RNA. RefSeq lists it as uncharacterized. The record is from RefSeq and is a predicted model, not a curated record. NCBI's taxonomy places the organism in Eukaryota, Viridiplantae, Streptophyta, Magnoliopsida, Fabales, Fabaceae.